UAAUACGAAGGGGGCUAGCGUUGUUCGGAAUUACUGGGCGUAAAGCGCGCGUAGGCGGUGCAUCAAGUCAGAGGUGAAAGCCCAGGGCUCAACCCUGGAACUGCCUUUGAGACUGGUGCGCUAGAGUACGGAAGAGGUGAGUGGAAUUCCCAGUGUAGAGGUGAAAUUCGUAGAUAUUGGGAAGAACACCAGUGGCGAAGGCGGCUCACUGGUCCGUAACUGACGCUGAGGUGCGAAAGCGUGGGGAGCGAACAGGAUUAGAUACCCUGGUAGUCCACGCCGUAAACGAUGAGUGCUAAGUGU
RNAcentral lists this ribosomal RNA (303 nucleotides) under Oxyrrhis marina. Its description in RNAcentral is "partial Bacterial small subunit ribosomal RNA". It matches the Rfam family "Bacterial small subunit ribosomal RNA", at positions 521 to 823 of the family's 1533-position model. Lineage: Eukaryota; Dinophyceae; Oxyrrhinales; Oxyrrhinaceae. The record is from RNAcentral.